CUUAUCACUUAAGCCCCCCCCGACACCUGUCUUUAUAGACCAGUAAACCUUUGAAAUGGAUUCUUCCCAGAGUUACCCCUCAAAGUAAAGUUUAUUGAAGUUGUGAGGAAGGUGACAUGGCAUUAGUGGUGAAGGAAGUUCUGUGUUCUUUCUUCCUCCACUUUUUAAGCUUAAUAGCUUUGUUUACCUAAUAAAUAAAAAUGGACCUUCAUUGUCUUUGCCUGAAGACUGGCUGGUCAGAGAAUCAAAUACACAUUCCUUUAUCUAAGGCAGACCUGUUUACCAACUCCCCCUGACAUGCCUGGUUUAGCCACACUUUAGUCAUAAUUCUAGCGUAUAUUUGUAACUCUUAAUACUCACUGUGUACAUAUAUUUACAAGAAUAUUAAUGAUCAGCAAGUUAUUAGUUUUCAAAUGAUACCUCACAAGGCAUAUUUUGUACAGAGAUUAUUAUAAUAGUGUGUUGGGUGUGAAUACAGGGGAGUUUAGUGCCACACUCCCAUUCACACUAAAUAGUCUGUAAUAUAGUGGUACUGUCAGCUUCUGAAACUGAAUUGUUUUAAGAGGGUUAACCAAAAGCCCUAAACGUCUGUAGAUAUUGAUCAGUAAUUAUCCAUUUUUCUCUAUUCAGGAAUUAGACAACCUUCCACAUUGUUUGUAAUGAAUCUGUGGCUGCACGGGACUUCAUGCUUGUCAGCUAUUCUACAUGGCAUGACUGCACAGCUCUCCAGUCAUCAAGGAUUUUAUGAUCCCAAAGCACAAACCUCUGUCACUUAAGAUGCCUAUUCCAGUAACUCAAGGGGAAUUCAAACUGUUUGUGCCUCUUCAUGCCGUGUUUGGUGCUCUCAGCUACCCCUUCUCCUGCACCGAGUCUGGGGCUCUGCCCAGCCAUAUGCAUGAUGGCAAAGAUUCCACUCUGCACGCUUCUGAAGUACUCUGACAGUGAGCUGUACUCUGUAUAAUGGACUUGCUGCUCCCAAUAUCAGGGGAAGUCAUAUUCAUGAGAGAUUUGCUUCUGCCCGCCCCAGUUACUGUAGUUGUGAUAAAUCUCCCAACUCUAGACAGGGGAAACAGGCAUGUCAGCCUGCCAGUUGAAGAUCUUGAAUCUUUAGCGCACUAGACAGAACUAUCCCCAUCCUUAGCUUUCUUUGCUCAGGCAUUGAAGCUCCUCCUCCUUCACUGCCAUCCCCCAGGGACGGUGAGGUCUCUCCUACUGUCCUACCCACACCACAGCAGGUGGAAAGUCUCACAGUUCCUGUCCACUUCCCCUUGGUCACAACUUCCAGUUUCCUGCUUCUUAACAGCCAGAAACCCUACUUCCUACCUGGUCCCUCCAGAGACUCCUGGAGUUAUACACAUGGCAUUAUUUAGUGCCCUCAGGGUUAAACAGAAACAGACCCUCAGACAUUAAAAAAAAAAGAAAUAAAAACAGUUGGCGGCACUACGUCUUCCAAGGAGCUGAAACUCAGAGGUGCUCACCUAGCGCAAAGCCCAUUGACUUCAGUGGGAGUUGCAAGUGCUCAGUGCCUCUCAGAAUCAGACCCUAGAAAAACAGAGCUCAUGUGUCUGAGGCGUGUGGCAUGGCUCUGCAUCAUGCAAUUUCUAUAUAUCAGCACAAGCUUGCUGAUCUCUUGUCAAAUCAGCUAGCUUGGGGCAGGAUCAGUUCACUGACUUCUGCAUCCACUCACACCUGCAGGUACAGGUAUUGCACGGGACUUCUUAAUGUGCAGAGAUCCAAAUUACAGCAUGUUGGAAAAAACUGUAUUGUAAUUCAAGCCUGAGAGCAAAAUGACAUUUUGUCUUGCUGAAGGGACCAUAGGAAAAAGUGUGAGGAAACUCUGAAUAGGCCAAGUAAAAUAACACACCAUAGAAAUGAAGGUGCAAGGAGCUGCUUUCUUGUCCAGACACACAAGGUGUAUAUCAUAGAAUGUAUGUUAAAUUUUACUAAUAUUUUAUGCAAGAAAAAAAUCUUCCAUAUCUAACCAAUACUUUAAUAGGUGCUUUUCUGUAGAAGUUAUCUGAUGACUGGCUACAUGGCAAUGAUACACUAUGCUUGCUGCAUGUAUUAACCAUUUAUAUGAUCAAGCUAGAUUACAUUUUGAGUUGAGUGUCACUGAACUAUCCCUUCAUAUAAACACCCACUCUAAAACCUUCUAGAGAUCUUAAAGAAUCCAAAGGACACCAGCACUUUAAAACUGGUAUUUAACUUUCUUGAAGGUGGUAAAGUUGUUACAAUUUUGCAUUGGGCGAAAGAGCUUUUUGUUUGAUGAAAUGCAAGCUGUUAAAACAGGUAAUUACACUUCUGAGUGAAAAAGAAAAAACGUGCAAGUUUUUAAAACCAUGAUCCCUUGAUAUGACGAAAGAAUAUGAUGGCAGAACAUUAUAGCAGGCAAGGAAGGUCUGAUUCAUUGCUCUAUUACAUCAAGUUUAUACUAACUUCAACAGAAUUAUACUGCGAUAAUGAAAUCAUGAAUCAGGUAUGGAGUGCUCAGCAUAACACACUUAAUUUAUCUUCCAUUGCCUUAUAGAUGGGGUUUGCUGAGCUGCCCAAGGGAGUUUGGCAUGCAAAUUCCAUAGGAAGCCAAUGGAAUCUGGGCAUCUAUUUCCUUUAGGUUCCUUUGAAAAUCCCAGCACAUACAAAUACAACAAUGGCCAUCAUUAAAAAAUGGAUCCUUAUUACCACUUAGUGGAGUACUAUGUGUGCGGUAUCUGCCAUUCUAAAUAUACAGGUAAAUACUGCAGUGAGGGCAAGUGUCCCUUUAUUUAACAGAGCCCACAUUACUUCCAUUACCUCAGCUCAGUGAUCAGUCAGAAUCACCACCUCCGAAUGGAGUCAUUUAUUUCACAGAAAAACUUCAGCACGAGUGAAAUUGCAGUCUGUAUGUGGCAGAGUCUUGAAACAAGUUGGGACUUUCAUUCUCCUUCACUAUCCCCCAGAUCACUAGUGGGUAAAAUAUACCACUGUGCAGAGGGUCAGCAUGAUAUAUAGUCCUCUUUAGCCCUCACAAUAAUGCUGUAGUGGGACUGAAGCCGUGUGUAGGCCUUGUCCUGCCCCUUGUUUGCUAACUCCAUUUUAUUGGUGAAAUACAUUUGCUUGGAAAUAAGAUGUAGUAGCAGUUUCUUGGUUGGUGGUGUAAUGCUUUUUUAUAGAUCUUUUCUAAAAAUAAUACUGUGACAUUUCAGCACAUUCACUGCCUUCACUGAACAAAUGAUCUUGCUUUGUGUAUAGCCAUUAAAAAAACAUACUGAGAGCGCCCACAAGAGGCAAAACUGUGUGUUUGUAGUUUGGCUUUAUACUGUAAUACAGAAUCGCAAGGUAAUGUAAUCAUAAAGGGAAGUCUCCUUCACUCCUGUCUGCUCUUCACAUAUAGUAAGUGCAUUCAUCCUAACAAGGGGAGAGCUGGGUGUCUCCCAACACUUCCUGAGGAUGAAGCCUGGUAACACUAGUGAGUUACAGGAAGUAACCAGACCCAAGUCUUGAAAAAGAUUAAAAUUGCUUAGUGAUGGUAUUGGCAAAGGCAGAAUGUCCUAACUAGUGUAAUUUCAGAGAGCUCAGAAUACAAGAGCAAAUCUUGCAAACUGGAUUCUUCUAGCACUUCGGUAUUAAAACUCAAACCCAGGACACUGUAGGAAAUUUUCACCAUUAGCAAAGGUGGCGCACACCUCCAUAAUAAUAAAUAAUAAUAAACCACUGAUAAAGCUUGCACCUGUAAGUUGUUCCCAGUGGACAGACUCCUGCAUCCACUGAGCCGCAUUGAAUUCAGUGGAGCUCCUUGAAGGAUCAGGGUCUUCAGGUGUUACUAAGGGCCCUCAGAGUAAUCUUUCUGGGAACCCUGAGGCCUGGACUUGCAUGUCUACUGUGCUAAGAGGAGGCACCCUAGUAUUUAAAGCACUCUGCCACUGAUUCCUUGGACAUAAAAUACUGAACUAGGGCUCUUGGCUUUCCUGGUGUGAACCAGACAGUCCUAAGGAGCACCCAAGAGUCACAUAAAUAUCCUUCUGAGCCCAUGUCAUUGCUACAGGAAGAAUUGGAUCCAUGAUCUUUCCACGAGCAUCAAUGUGCCAAAUAUCCGUUUCUCACAGGACUGACUUCCUCAGCCUGUUUGAGUGCAAUGUCACUAAAAUCAUUCUCCUAUUUAUACCAGUAGCGGCAGGGAGGACAGUCGUUCCCUUAAAUGAGGGCCCGAUUCAUCUCCCAUUAAAGUCAAUGGCAAAGCUCUUACUAAUUGCAGUGACAAUUGGGUUAGGCCCUUAGUGCAGCUUUGGGUACAAAUACAGUCUGCUCACGUGGGGCACGAGGUGCAUUCUUCAAAGCACAAUGGGGAGUUUGCCUGAGCCACUCCCUUCCCUCUUGUAUUUUGUUGGAUGUAGGUGGAGGUCAUUGAGCCGAGGGGACGUUUAGCUCUCUGCCUGGGUUCCAGCAGGAUGCUUAGGGUACGGCUACACUGCAAACAAACAAAACUCAAACCCGUGGCAGAGAAUCUCUGAGCCUGAGUCAACUGACUCAAGCUCACAGAGCGUGUGCUACAGGGCUAAAGAAGAUCAGGGUAAGCAUUCCGGCUCAGGCUGGAGCCUGGGCUCCAAGACUCUCCCCCUCUCUCUGGGCUUCAGAGCCUGGGCUACAGCUUGAGCCCAAUGGUCUUCACUGCGAUUUUUAGUUCCAUAGUGCAAGCCUGGGUCAGCUGACCCUGGCUAUGAGACUCACUGCUGUGGGCCUUUCUUUGCAGGGUAAACAGAAGCGUACUCCAAGGUGCUAGAUGAUGGAUGGCUAACUCCUAGGCCGGGGUAGUCCAUUAUUUUUUGUCACGUUCCACAUGCCAGAAAAACAUUUUUCACACCACAAUAACAAUGAUAAUAAGUUAAAAAAUAAAAAGAUGUUGGGGUCCAUUCAAAAGCAUCUGAUGAUCUGGAUUUGGUCUGCCUAUUGACUAUCUGUCCUAGGCUGUCUUUGCUGCAGGCUCCAAAAUAGACUCAUCACGAUGUGGGAAUGAUUAGCAUCUGGCUAAGCCUUUGCCUAUAUUUCUCCACAACAGUCCAGUGUUCGUUCUUCCCGUGUAGAGUGCUUGGAUAUCCUAAGUCUCUUGUCGCUUAAACACAUGCAUUUGGAAAGCGGUCAGUCUCUCACUCUCUUUAAUCUACACAGAGGCACUAUUCAAACAACCAGUGAUCUUUGUAUAUAUUGCUACCAUAGGGGCUACUUUCUAGACUACUUAUUAGAAGCUCAUCUGUCAGCCCUGCCAUCUACAAUGACAGCUUUAUGGCCCUGGUUCAGCAAAGCACUUUAGCAUGUGCUCCGAUGAAUAAGGAUGGGAUUACUCCAGUGGUUAAAGUUAAGCAUCUGCUUAAGUGCUUUGCUUGAAUGGAGACAGACUUAAUCAUGUGCUAGAGUGCUUUGCUGGUUUGGGGCCUCAAUUAUACAGUCCAUUCAAGUUAUCUGACUCCCAGAAGGAGGGAAGGGUACAAUAUAUAGCCCUGCAUGGAACCACAUCAGGCUUCUGCUGAGUUGGAAUCAAAGCAUUUCAUAUUCUUGCAGUUUUGAUCUCCGGUUUCUCCCUUUUUACAAGCUGAUAUUCAUUGCGUUUGUAACCACUGACCGCUAGAGAAUUUUGUUUACAGUGUGUAUCAUGACUGAAAUCUUGAUCUACAGCAACACUCUUAAAAAUAAUGAAAUAGAUAAUUUUAUAAGUUGAUUCAGGAACCAAAAGCCCUUUCUAUUUACCAAGUGUAAUGACGGUGCAAAGCCAGACUGUUUGCUCCAAAAGGUGGCAUAGUGUUUGGGACCUGACUCAGGCACCUUGAAUGAGACAGCAAGUUAUUGUACUGAUAAACUCUACAAAGCUUUUGCUAGACAUACCUAAUUAUAUAUUUUCUCCAUGAGUUUUUAUGAAGGAAUGUUUUUUAAUGUUCAUUUUACAAAUGUUUACCUUGAAAAGCCCACCUUUUGUUACACGCAAGUAGCAUUGGGGGGGAUAAUUAUGGCUAAUACAACUUUUGUAAUGUUAUCAAAAUUGAGAGGUAACAAAUAUGGACUUUUCCAGCAUCACUAGAGUUUAAACUCAUAUCGCAGUGGGUGCCACGGUGGAAUUUAAAUCAGUGCUAAUCUACCACUUAUUGGGGGGAGAGGGAUAGCUCAGUGGUUUGAGCAUUGGCCUGCGAAACCCAGGGUUGUGAGCUCAAUCCUUGAGGGGGCCAUUUAGGGAUCAGGACAAAAAUUGGGGAUUGGUUCUGCUUUGAGCAGGGGGUUGAACUAGAUGACCUGCUGAGGUCCCUUCCAACCCUGAUAUUCUAGGAUACCAGUCAAAACCUUUGAAACACAGAAAAGUUGGUAAUUGGGUCGAAUUGCCUUAGCUUUAAGAGGGUUUGCCCUGUACAGUAUAUGCAUUCCACAUGAAACUUGGCAUUGUGUUCAUGUGCGUAGGCAUGCAAAUCUAUAUCAACACAUACACAUAUAUAUACACUAACACGGAUGCUACUCUGAAACACUUAUAUAUGUGACUAUAUGUGUAUACAGUAUAAAAACAUGGCUAUGUUGUCAAAUAUUACAUAAUAGAAAAAGGACUAGACAAUUUUUUGUUUUAAAUAUUUUAAAGUGUGAACUGUGUUUGAGAUUAUUUUUCUGCGUAUAUAAAGAUAUUUUUAGGACCUAACUUAAGUGCAUAAAAAGGUGUAGUAGAAAUACGUUAAACUAGCAUAGUUGUUUGACAUAGUAAUUAGAAGAGGUUCUGCUGAGCUUGCAGCUUAAUUCCUUGCACUUUUUUAAAGCUGUAAAAUACGUAGUUAGCAUUAAAUUCUAGGACCUCAAAACAUCAAGCAAGUAAAAGGGAAUUGUUAUGUGACCAGCGAUCUGAUGAUCCUAACAGCCAGCUGUUCUUGAAGGUUGUAAUGGGCACAGAUGAGAAUGGUAGCAUCAUAUGCAAGAGAAGAAAUAUGGUCAGAGCCUAGGAAAAUAGACUGGAAACUAAAGAGUAGUUUUCCCCAGAGAUUUGUGGUCAGUCUGCACUACAAAAUCUAAAGGGUUUGAGGUGCAGCCUUAGCUCCGCUAAAGUCUGAUCUUUCACCAUUUAUUAAUCAAAAAUUGUCCAGGGAAGCUCUUCUUUAGUUGGUGUCACAGAUCCAGCAUGACUGGGGUAGAAAACACUAUUACAAUCCACUUUUUUUCUAGCAUUUUGACCACGGGAUUGUUGCAAACUUCCCAAGUAAUGACAAGCCCCUGCAGCUGGGCUUUUUAAUCUGAUGUUCAUUUGCUUUCACUUCAGUCAUUUUAGUGCUGGUGAAAGAUGUUUAAUCAAAAUAUUUUAACCCUUUCUAAGCUGCUACUUUGGGCUUUACUAGCUGACGAGCUGGUGCGCAGCAAGCUGGGGUGUAAAACUACAGCACACUAAGGUGUUGUGCACCAAUUGUCCGUGCAGACCAUGCUAGUGCACACUACAGCUUCCUAGUGUGCUUUGAUUGACUCCCCUUUUGGUAGCAUCUGAGGACUCCUUCAGUAUGUUUGCCGCACAGUGCCAGUUCAGCUGUGGUCAUCCAGGCAGGACUCAUGGGAUGCUAUCACUAGAUUUCCACCGUGAAUACAGUUUUGUUUCCUGAAUCCGGCAUAGAUGCUGGUGUUUUCAGAACAACCCCCCAGCAGUCUCAUGUUGUGAUGCACAGAGCACCAACAAUGAAAUUUACUCCCGUGCUGAAGCCCAGCACAAGGUCCAUACACCACUGGCAUCCAGUUUCAGUGGGGCAUAAGCCUGUGCUAACUCAUGGCAUAUGGAUGCAUUGGCAUUGUUAUGGAAAAUUAACCACGCGCUGUGUUUGGAUCAGAACAGCCUGAGGCUACCUUUAAUUCAAGCAUGUGCAUGCAGGGAGAGUCAGCCAGCCUCGCUGCUCUACCCAAACAGGAACACACAGAAGUUUAUCUAGGUUACAGGCAAUAUUCAAUUACUCACACUUCAUUAGUAUUUUUCCAAACCUUGGCACUCUAAUACCUUAUUAGGAAUAGAGCCAAAACAAGCUUUUCCUGUUGUUGAUAGGGUUAUUCUUUUGCAGUUAACAUUUUUCCUCAUCCUAGCUGCUAUUGUUACAUUUCUUAAACUGGGCUGUUGCAAUUGCUUUACAAUGGAAUUUUCCUCACUCUCUUCUCAUGCCCUCUAACCACAUACAUCGUUAACUUGACCAAAGAUUAGGCCUAUCCAAUUUUUCCUGUACAGCAUCCUUAUUUUAUUAAUUGAUGAAAUUACAGGUCAACCCUCUCUUGCCUUGAAAAAAUGCAUCAUCUUGUAAGGCCAGUUUGCCCAGUAGAAAGACAGGUUUUGGUUGAAUGUGAGGUAAUUUGCUGUUUUCCUACUAUGACUACUAUUUAAAUAUCUCCAUUUUUCAUCAGCAUUAUGAAAGGAAAUACAGUAGAAGAGAAACUACAGUAUAUCUGUAAUGUUAACAGUACUUCCCCAACUAGUUUACAGUUCACAAAGAAUUAAGACGCUUUUUAGAAUGCUAAUUCAUGAUUAAUAGAUUUUAUAGAAUACCCUAUUCCUUUCUUCAGUUAACUGGAAAAGGAAUUUAGUUCUAAAACCUUUACAGACUUUAUCAUGGGUACUUUUUACUUCGUGUUGGAAGGUUAUUGAAAAAGGCAAUCCAUAGUAUUUUUACAUAAAAUGGGGAACACCCUCUUGCUGGUUGUGUUGUUACUUGCUAGUACACUUGUGGCGAAGUAAAUGGUAUUUUUAGUUUCCUUUAAAAAGAAGUAUUGUACUGUUCAUAAGAGCUUACAAAUUCAUAAGGCAUUAUAAAAUACUUGUGCUACAUGUCUUUGUCUUAGAUCUGGUUAAACACGGAAGUUAAUUUUUUUUUUCAGAAUACAUUUGUACUGUUAAUUUAGAUAUCUUUAUCCAUUCCAGGCUUCCCCCCCCCCAAACUGGUCAUCAUAGGUAAUAAUGGAAAAUACAUAAUUAGACUGUUCCUUUAUAUUAUGAAAAUCUCAAACAUGCUUGGAUGAAUAUUUUUGAAACUGCUGUUUCCUUUGCUCCACUUGUUUAAGUUAUUCCAUUUAUGAACAAUGUCAAAGAGUUUUUAGUAUUCCUUUUGUACAAAUUACACCCACUUCCACUACUGUAUUCAGUGAGAUUAACUGCAAAUAAGUUUCUAUUCUUGUUUUUGUUUGACAAAUUACUGUAUGUAUGUGAAAUUAUGCAAGAAUAAACCUAAUUUUUUUUAACAAUGAA
Long non-coding RNA from Dermochelys coriacea (leatherback sea turtle), 9205 nucleotides. RefSeq lists it as uncharacterized. The record is from RefSeq and is a predicted model, not a curated record. Lineage: Eukaryota; Metazoa; Chordata; Testudines; Dermochelyidae. The transcript is spliced from 2 exons.